AUAGCGGAGAAAAGAGACUAACAGGAUUCCCCUAGUAACGGCGAGUGAAGCGGGAAAAGCUCAAAUUUAAAAUCUGGCGGUCUUAAGGCCGUCCGAGUUGUAAUCUAGAGAAGUGUUAUCUGUGCUGGACCAUGUACAAGUCCCUUGGAACAGGGCGUCAUAGAGGGUGAGAAUCCCGUCUAAGACAUGGACUCCCAGUACUGUGCGAUGCACUCUCGACGAGUCGAGUUGUUUGGGAAUGCAGCUCAAAAUGGGUGGUAAAUUCCAUCUAAAGCUAAAUACAGGCAAAAGACCGAUAGCGAACAAGUACCGUGAGGGAAAGAUGAAAAGCACUUUGGAAAGAGAGUUAAACAGUACGUGAAAUUGUUGAAAGGGAAACGCUUGAAGUCAGUCGCGUCUUCRGGGACUCAGCUUGGCAUCUUUGCCAAGUGUACUUCCCUGAGUGACGGGCCAGCAUCAGUUUCGACCGCUGGAAAAAGGCUUGAGGAAGGUGGCACCUUUCGAGGUGUGUUAUAGCCUCUUGUUGUAUGCGGCGGUUGGGACUGAGGAUCGCAGCAUGCCUUUAUGGCCGGGGUUCGCCCACGUAACAUGCUUAGGAUGCUGGCGUAAUGGCUUUAAACGACCCGUCUUGAAACACGGACCAAGGAGUCUAACAUGCC
RNAcentral lists this ribosomal RNA (659 nucleotides) under Sclerogaster minor. RNAcentral's name for it is "eukaryotic LSU rRNA". It matches the Rfam family "Eukaryotic large subunit ribosomal RNA", at positions 47 to 684 of the family's 3401-position model. The record is from RNAcentral. Lineage: Eukaryota; Fungi; Basidiomycota; Agaricomycetes.